GCUAGAGGAGGAAGAGGGGCUGCUGGAGAGAGAGAGCGCGCCAGGUUCAGGUCCAGGGAGGAGAGAGAGCGAGCGCGCGAGGCGGAGACCUGGAGGGAGAGGAGCUGCGGAGAGGGGUUAGGCGGGGAGGGAGAGAGAGAACCAGGUUCCGGUCCAGGGAGGAGAGAGACAGCGCGCGCGAGGCGGAGACCUGGAGGAGAGGAGCUGCGGAGAGGGGUUAGGCGGGGAGAGAGAGAGAGCGAGCCAGGUUCAGGUCCAGGGAGGAGAGAGACAGCGCGCGCGAGGCGGAGACCUGGAGGGAGAGGAGCUGCGGAGAGGGGUUAGGCGGGGAGGGAGAGAGAGAACCAGGUUCAGGUCCAGGGAGGAGAGAGACAGCGCGCGCGAGGCGGAGACCUGGAGGAGAGGAGCUGCGGAGAGGGGUUAGGCGGGGAGAGAGAGAGAGCGAGCCAGGUUCAGGUCCAGGGAGGAGAGAGACAGCGCGCGCGAGGCGGAGACCUGGAGGGAGAGGAGCUGCGGAGAGGGGUUAGGCGGGGAGGGAGAGAGCCAGGUUCAGGUCCAGGGAGGAGAGAGACAGCGCGCGCGAGGCGGAGACCUGGAGGGAGAGGAGCUGCGGAGAGGGGUUAGGCGGGGAGAGAGAGAGCGAGCCAGGUUCAGGUCCAGGGAGGAGAGAGACAGCGCGCGCGAGGCGGAGACCUGGAGGGAGAGGAGCUGCGGAGAGGGGUUAGGCGGGGAGGGAGAGAGACAGCGCGCGCGAGGCGGAGACCUGGAGGGAGAGGAGCUGCGGAGAGGGGUUAGGCGGCGGGAGGCCCGGGAGCGUUACAUGUGUGUGGACUCGGGGAGGGCGGCGGGGGGCCGCUCCUCGGGGCCGUCUGCCUGCAGGAAGGAGUCCACGGACUUGCUGCUGAGGCGGAAGGGCAUCAGGCGGCAGAAGGUGCCGGGAGAGUAGGGAAUCUGCGUGCGGGCCCUCUGCGAGGGGACCACCGUCUCCCCGGGAGACAGCCAGGGCGGCAGCCUGGCCAGGAGGCUGCGGUCCAGGGCCUCGUCCGGAGAAAACACAGGGUUGUCAAUUCCUAGGAGAGAGGGCAGCGGCUAGUCAGCCUUCGGAGAGCCCCACGGCGGCAGGGGAGACCUCGCCGGGGCCGUCACCUGCUGGGUGCCUUGGAAAGUUAGGGUCACCGGGAAGGUUAGGGUCACGUGCCUUUCAGGUUGCGGGCCCUUCCCCCACAUCCAUGACCCCACACGCCACAGGCAGCACAGGUAACGUCUCGCUUCCCUCAAGACAUACCCCACCUGCUCCCUGCCCGGCCCACGUCUCCCCGGACAGCAGCCUCCGAGUUGGUUGAGGGGGCACUCAGUGGGUGCCAAGCAGGGCCCUUGAGAACCCACAGGAGACCCCACCCCCCCAGGUCCCAGUGCCCCUGGUCCAAUGACCGAGCUCCCUCCUGGGGCGGCAGGAGCCACCCCUCCCUUAGCCACGACGCCUGUGCCCCGUCCCCACCUGCAGGGGAGUCGGACGCUGUGUCCUUGGUGACACUAGCCAGGAACUCGAUCCCCCCACUCAUCUCCUCAUCAUAGUUGGGGGGCUCCUCGGUGUCUGAAAGUUCCAAGUCUGGGGAAGACAGGUUGGGGUGAGGACUGGGGUCACUGGGGGGCUGUCCUCACAGCCCAGUCAGCAGUGUCCAUCAGCUCUGUGCACAGAGGUGCAGGCAGUCGGGACCCACAGAGAGGAGGGCUAAACCGCAGGGCUGGAGGAGGGACCCCACUUAGAGGGCAGUGUCCCUGGAACCCCAUCCUGGGUGGGUCUGCAGCUGGGGCCCUGACCAUGCCUCCCCUGCCUGGGUGGCUGGAGGGUCCCCAGAGGGGAAGGUCCUGAGAGGGGAGGUUCCCGAGCCGGGAGGGCUGGGGCUGGGAGGUGGUGGCUCCCAGUCCCAGCGUUCCUGCAGGGCCCCCAGCGCACCUUUCUCCUUGAUGGUGAAAUUCUGCGCAGGGCUCUCCAUGGGCAGCUUCCCAUUGGGGAUGCUGCUGUUUCUCUGCGGAGCAAACGUGAAGCUGCUCACACCCCGACACAGCCACACCCAGCCCUGACUGCCCCCGCUCCAGGCCCCAGCCCCGCCAAGCCUCCUGGUGACCCAGCCUUACCCGCUUCUGGGCACGCUCCCGCUUGUACAGCUUGGCCGCCUUCUUGUUCUGGUUGAGCCCCAGCUUGGUCGACUUGAAGGACUCCAGGCGCUUCCGCAUGGUCCUGUGGAAGAUUUCCCGGUCCUGUUUCUCGUCCUCCGUGGGCGUGAGCUCGUGUCGGCUGUACAGAUGCUUGUACUGCGGGAUCAGGCACGGAGGUCACAGCUGUGCCCACCGCCGGACAUUCUCGCCCUCCUGCCGCAGGAGCUGAGCACGGAUCCCCCGUGGUCCCAGGAGGGGACGAGGAAGCCGCCCCACGGGGUCCCUGCGGGGUCCUCCAGCCCCCAGCCCGCAGUGCCCACCUCCUGCCGCGGCUUGUACAGGUACUGCUGUAGCGUGUGGUGCGUGACCAUGUCCUCCGCGUCCCGGAUGCUCCGCCGUCGCUGCUCCAGAGACUGCAUGUCCAGGCAGACAGCGCUGACAUUUUCUCUCCUGCGUGGGGACCAGCGCUGAGCCAUACAGGCUCCCUCAGGGUGGGGUCUCUUGCGCGCCCCUCGCCUUCCCACGGCGGGCAUCUGGCCCUGGCUGCCUCCUGCGUGCCCCUCGCCUUCCCAUGGUGGGCACCCGGCUGGGGCACGGGGACAUCUGCCAUCUGGCCAGCCCCUUCUCCCCUCGGGGCUUAGGCUGACUCCCCACGAGGCCUUCCUGGCCUCCUGUCUGAAGUGGGUCCCUUUCCUUACUGGUCCCUCUCCAAAGCCCUGGCUGUAAGACUCGGGGACCCCAGCAUCUGCACAUCUGGCAGAGUGGACCUCCUAUGAGAACUGGCUGUGAGCUGUGGAGCCCAGGGCCGGAGGAGCAGUAAGGGUGGCAUGGGGACCAGGACAGGCUGCUGCGGGCCAGGGGCAAACACGUCAGGCCUGGCCCCCAGUCCGCUGCUGCCCCUCCCUUUCACCUUCCAUCCAGCACUAAGGGAGUCUGGCCACGGCCUAAUAUAGGAGGGCUUGUGGAAGGAGACACCCACCCCCUCUUUCUGCACCUCUCCCCUCUUCCAUGCCACCCCCAGGCCAGGAGCCACCACAGCCCUGUCUGUGACUCUCAGCUCCCGAGGCUGGGCUCUUCCCCAGGGAAGCUGCAUGACCAUGGCCACAUACAGGAGGUAGGAGACAGAGGCCUCCACGGUGGACGAUCGUGGCGUGAAGUCCACGUUGACCACGUUGUCGGUGCUGGGGGAGCGGAUGAAGGCCAGGGACCCGCGGCGCUCUCCCUGUGGUCAGGAAGCAGCCCGGUCAGUGGCCUGAGCAGCCAAGCCCUAGCUGCUGCCAUUGUGUGCCCUGGGGGGAAGCGCCCAGAGCUCGGGGCCCGGGGAAAGCCUUGAGACCUGAGCCCCGGGUUCACGCCUCACAGCUGCAGAGGGAGGGGUGGAAAUGCCAAAACCAGGAGAUCAGAUUUUGAGCCCCUGUCCGUCUGAGGCCACAGCCAGGCUGCUGCCUGAACUGGGCAGAGGUCAUGCUUGUGGGAGGACACAGUGGUCUGAGUGUGAAGGGGUAAAGCUGCCUGGGACUUGGGAUGUGUCUGGGGAAAGUGUUGAUACUGCAGAAUCAUUGAAGUGGUCUCUGUCCCUGCAGGAGACCCUAAAACUCCAUUGGCCUCAUGUCCAGAACUGAAUCAGGUUCAGCUCGUGGAAGACAUUCAGGAUCCGGUCUCGAGACUUCUGGGCCGACCGUCUCAUGAGGACCCUGCUGAGGAACUUCCUGUCGAAGUGGGACCACCUGUAGGGACAGACCUUGGGUGUGAGCCUCAGGUGACAGGCGCCCUAGAGCCCGCCGGACGCGUGGCCCGGCCCCUUCUCUCCUGAAUUUUGUUUGCUAUAGUGACCCUGUAGGCGCGUUUAAAAUGAGGGAAGCAGCCCCUGCCACACGCCCAGGCCGUCCGCCGUUCUCCCGCCUGUCCUGUUGGAUGGAGGCCGUUAGACGCAUAUGAAACUGCAUGCCGCCUCCUCCAGAGGGUGGCUCAGGACACGCCUAACGGAAUUAGAGUAUUCGCUGGUUAUCCAGAUCAGAAGGGACGGUGGCCUGGCCGGACUUAGAGGAAACUCUGGGGCACAAGGAGGUGAUGCCUGUCACUUGGACAUGGGUGCAGCCGCCAGAGCCGCCCUCCAGGGCACAGGGUGGGCCCGGGUGAGCUUGUGUGCUCACACCUGGGCAGGCCCCGCGGCAGCAAUGGCAGCUCUCCUGUACAGGCUGAGUUUCAGCCACACCAAGAAGUCAAAGCUAACCGAGGCUGUGCCUUCCGAGACCCCCGGGAUGGCCCCUGGGAGGCCAAGGAGUCGGGGACUGGGUACCCGGAGCAGAGUCACUGUGGCCACGGAGAACCGCAGCUGAGCUUUAUGAAGCCACGUGGCCACACCUCCCGGUGCCUCCACCCCAAGCAAACACAGAUCGCUCAGAAAAUGGGAACCCAGGGCAAAUUGUAUGUGCUCCUUACUGGGUUUAUUAUAAGUGUCACAUGUUUUUUAUAAUAAAACAUAGGUGAUUUCACCUUAAUGGACAAACUCUUUUUUUUAUUUUGGGACGAAGUCUCGCUCUGUCACCAGGCUGGAAUGUAAUGGCGCAAUCUCGGCUCACCGCAGCCUCCACCUCCCGGGUUCAAGCGAUUCUUGUGCCUUAGCCUCCUGAGUAGCUGGGAUUACAGGCCCACGCCACCACCCC
Molecule: long non-coding RNA, 4826 nt
Filed under: Homo sapiens (human)
Lineage: Eukaryota; Metazoa; Chordata; Mammalia; Primates; Hominidae
Description: HSALNT0324634
Source: RNAcentral